AGUGAACGCUGGCGGUAGGCCUAACACAUGCAAGUCGAACGGCAGCACAGUAAGAGCUUGCUCUUACGGGUGGCGAGUGGCGGACGGGUGAGGAAUACAUCGGAAUCUACUUUUUCGUGGGGGAUAACGUAGGGAAACUUACGCUAAUACCGCAUACGACCUACGGGUGAAAGCAGGGGAUCUUCGGACCUUGCGCGAUUGAAUGAGCCGAUGUCGGAUUAGCUAGUUGGCGGGGUAAAGGCCCACCAAGGCGACGAUCCGUAGCUGGUCUGAGGGGAUGAUCAGCCACACGGGAGCUGAGACACGGUGCAGACUCCUACGGGAGGCAGCAGUGGGGAAUAUUGGACAAGGGGCGCAAGCCUGAUCCAGCCAUACCGCGUGGGUGAAGAAGGCCUUCGGGUUGUAAAGCCCUUUUGUUGGGAAAGAAAAGCAGCAGGUUAAUACCCCGCUGUUCUGACGGUACCCAAAGAAUAAGCACCGGCUAACUUCGU
This 491-nucleotide ribosomal RNA is filed under the name uncultured bacterium. RNAcentral describes it as "partial 16S ribosomal RNA". It matches the Rfam family "Bacterial small subunit ribosomal RNA", at positions 29 to 506 of the family's 1533-position model. The record is from RNAcentral.